RNAcentral lists this ribosomal RNA (250 nucleotides) under uncultured bacterium. RNAcentral describes it as "partial 16S ribosomal RNA". It matches the Rfam family "Bacterial small subunit ribosomal RNA", at positions 524 to 773 of the family's 1533-position model. The record is from RNAcentral.
UACGAAGGUCCCGAGCGUUAUUCGGAAUCACUGGGCGUAAAGAGUACGUAGGCGGUUUGGUAAGUCAGGUGUGAAAUCCCGGAGCUCAACUCCGGAACUGCAUCCGAUACUGCUAGACUUGAGUAAUGGAGGGGCAGGUGGAAUUCUUGGUGUAGCAGUGAAAUGCGUGGAUAUCAAGAGGAAGACCAAUGGCGAAGGCAGCCUGCUGGACAUUUACUGACGCUGAGGUACGAAGGCCAGGGUAGCGAAA